RNAcentral lists this ribosomal RNA (572 nucleotides) under Aeromonas sp. A90. RNAcentral describes it as "bacterial SSU rRNA". It matches the Rfam family "Bacterial small subunit ribosomal RNA", at positions 65 to 630 of the family's 1533-position model. Lineage: Bacteria; Pseudomonadati; Pseudomonadota; Gammaproteobacteria; Aeromonadales; Aeromonadaceae. The record is from RNAcentral.
AGCGGGAAAGUAGCUUGCUACUUUUGCCGGCGAGCGGCGGACGGGUGAGUAAUGCCUGGGAAAUUGCCCAGUCGAGGGGGAUAACAGUUGGAAACGACUGCUAAUACCGCAUACGCCCUACGGGGGAAAGCAGGGGACCUUCGGGCCUUGCGCGAUUGGAUAUGCCCAGGUGGGAUUAGCUAGUUGGUGAGGUAAUGGCUCACCAAGGCGACGAUCCCUAGCUGGUCUGAGAGGAUGAUCAGCCACACUGGAACUGAGACACGGUCCAGACUCCUACGGGAGGCAGCAGUGGGGAAUAUUGCACAAUGGGGGAAACCCUGAUGCAGCCAUGCCGCGUGUGUGAAGAAGGCCUUCGGGUUGUAAAGCACUUUCAGCGAGGAGGAAAGGUCAGUAGCUAAUAUCUGCUGGCUGUGACGUUACUCGCAGAAGAAGCACCGGCUAACUCCGUGCCAGCAGCCGCGGUAAUACGGAGGGUGCAAGCGUUCAUCGGAAUUACUGGGCGUAAAGCGCACGCAGGCGGUUGGAUAAGUUAGAUGUGAAAGCCCCGGGCUCAACCUGGGAAUUGCAUUUAA